UACGUAGGGUGCGAGCGUUAAUCGGAAUUACUGGGCGUAAAGCGUGCGCAGGCGGUGAUGUAAGCCAGGUGUGAAAUCCCCGGGCUUAACCUGGGAACUGCAUUUGUGACUGCAUCGCUGGAGUGCGGCAGAGGGGGAUGGAAUUCCGCGUGUAGCAGUGAAAUGCGUAGAUAUUCGGAGGAACACCGAUGGCGAAGGCAAUCCCCUGGGCCUGCACUGACGCUCAUGCACGAAAGCGUGGGGAGCAAACAGG
RNAcentral lists this ribosomal RNA (253 nucleotides) under uncultured bacterium. RNAcentral describes it as "partial 16S ribosomal RNA". It matches the Rfam family "Bacterial small subunit ribosomal RNA", at positions 524 to 776 of the family's 1533-position model. The record is from RNAcentral.